GUGCUCGCUUCGGCAGCACAUAUACUAAAAUUGGAACAAUACAGAGAAAUUAGCAUGGCCCCUGCUGCAAGGAUGACAUGCAAAUUCUUGAAGCAUUCCAUAAAAAGAAAAAAAAUUUUU
Non-coding RNA from Nomascus leucogenys (northern white-cheeked gibbon), 120 nucleotides. The record is from Rfam. Lineage: Eukaryota; Metazoa; Chordata; Mammalia; Primates; Hylobatidae.